Cyprinus carpio carpio is the source of this 1416-nucleotide long non-coding RNA. NCBI's taxonomy places the organism in Eukaryota, Metazoa, Chordata, Actinopteri, Cypriniformes, Cyprinidae. The record is from Ensembl.
UUUCCACUGAAGGACAGAUACACACAGUGCAAACUGAGAUUUAUCAUCAUUUCACACAACAGAACAUACAUACCUAUUCAGUCUCGUCUGCUUCCGUUUAUAUGUGAUCACAAAUCAACUCCAUGAGGGCUUUAAGGCCAAAGGUGCGCACAUUUAGAGAUACAUUGAUAAAUUCUCAUGUCGAAGUCACAAUAACAAAAAAAAAAUUAUCUUUCUUUUUUUCUAUUAAUUUUCCAGUAAAGUUUCCUCUCUCCUGUCUCACUAAUGCUAUUCUUUCAGCCAAAAACGAAAAUGAAAUCCCAAACAGAAAACAGGAGUUUUGUCAUGCGGAUGUACAAAAUAUGAUACGAGGAAGUCCAGAAUCACAGCAAAGAAGCAGAGGCACAAUGACAUGAAACAUGAAUACAAAUAAAUUCACAAUUACAGAAUAUGAAAAGAUGCAGUGAACCACUUGAUUGAUUACCUGCGGAACUUUAAUUAAAUUAUAUGGGACAGUCUUUGUCUCAUGCAUUAAAUGCAGCACGCUGCUCGCCUAUGACAGCCUAAUAUUUAUAGUUAACUGAAGGAAUUGUAGAUGUGGGAGUGAAUGAACAGCUCUCUCAUCCACCUUCAGUAACCACGAAUGAGCUUCGCUUGUACAAACCCCUCAUUGCUUCCCGGGGUACCAUACUUGGUAACACAUUUAUUAGCUAUAAACCCCCAGAUUUAUGAUUUUGAAAAAUCUACCUCAGUAAGAUGUUAACAUUAUGUGGAACGAGUAACACAGACAGUGUAAAUUACCUUGUUUAAAAUUAUUUUAUACCAACCCCAUCAACCUCUUCCCCCACCUCUACCCCAUUUUAUUUAAUAAUGUUUUAUAAUUUAUUAAGAAAUAAUUCAUUAAAACAACUAAAAUAAAUCAGAAACUUGGCAAUGAAUAUUCAUGUGGUCUUCUCUCUCUCUAUCUAUCUAUCUAUCUAUCUCUACCUUAUUGCUAAAUUUAUUAGUGUCACUAAAUUUAAAGUCUGUGUGAAGAACAAUAAUGUUAGCAUUCAAUAUACAUAUAUUGCUAAAUUGUGUAAAAAAUAUUACAGUCGUGGCCAAAAAUAUUGGCCCCCUUGGUAAAUAUGAUCAAAAAAGGCUGUGAAAAUUCAUCUGCAUUGUUAAUCCUUUUGGUCUUUUAUUUUAAAAAAAUCACAAAAAUGUAUCCUUUCAUGGAUAAAAAGAAUUUAAAAUGGGGGAAAUAUCAUUAUGAAAUAAUGUCGUUCUAAUACACAUUGGCCACAAUUAACUGCACCCUUUUAUUCAAUACUUUUUUAAACCUCCAUUUGCCAGUUUAACAGCUCUAAAUUUUCUCCUGUAAUGCCUGGUGAGGUUAGAGAACACCUGACAAGAGAUCAGAGCUGAAGAUCUUUGCCCGAACCCGACUGGACCCGA